AUGGCGGGAGCCGACCCCGACCCCGACCCCGACCCCAACGCCCCGCGCCCCAGGACCGCCCGACACAUGCCCGAGGCCGCCCCCGGCAGCCGCUGCGCUCGGGCCGCCGGAGCCCCGGGGCGUCCUGGGGGGGGCGGGGCCGGGGGGCUGCGCUCGCGGACCGGGGCGGGCCCCCCGCAGCAGGUGUCGGCCGCCGCCUCAGUUUCCCCGCCGCGGCGCCCCACUGUCGGCAGGGCGGGGGCUCCCGGAGCCGACCCCCGCCCCGGGGCAGCAGCAGCUCGGGCCGCCGCGCGGGGCGCGUCCUUUGUCUGCUCCGCCGCCGCCGCCGCCGCCCGCGCCCCGCGCCCCGCGCCCCGCGCCCCGCUCCCCGGGCAGACAAAGCCGCGGCCGCCCGAGCCGGGGCCGCAGACGCGCCCGCGCCGCCCCCCGCCCGCCCGGCCCCGCCCCCCGCCGCACGCCCGCCCAUUGGCCCGCGGGGCCGCUCGGGGGCGGGGCCCGGGCGCGUCACGUGGGCCGGCGCGGGCGCCCAUUGGCCGGCGCGGCCGCCCGUCGCGGAGGGCGGGCCGUGCGCGCGGGGCCGGGCGCUGCCUGCGCGCUGGGGCCGCCCGCGGGGCCGGGCGCCUGUCAGAGGGAGGAGGCGAUGCGCGCGGCGGCGGCGGCCCGGGUGCGGGAGCGGGAGCGGGCGCGGGCGGGGCGGGCGCGGGCGCGGGUGCGGGUGCGGGCGCGGGGACGGCGGGAUGCCCGAGCGGCCGACGCCACGACCGCGUGAACGCACGGCGGAGCCCCGCGCGCCAUGAGGAGCCUGCCGAGCCUGCGCGCCGUCGCCCUGCUCUGCUGCGCCGCCGCCGCCGCCGCCGCCGCCUCCGUCUCGGCGGGGACCGUCCCGGCCGGCGGGGCCGCGGGGCAGGUGGACGCGGCGCGGGGCCCGGGGCCGGGGAGCCCGCUCGGCCGCCCCGCCUCCCCGCCGCCCCCGCCCCCGCCCCCCUCGCCCUCGCCCUCGCCCUCGCCCUCGCCGCACGCCCCGCGCGCCGCCGCGGCCCCCGCGGCCCCCGCGGACCCCGACCCGGACCCCGGCGCCGCGCCGCCCACGCCCCGGCCGCCGCCCCGCGCCCCGGCCCCGACCCCGGCCGCGACCCCGACCGCGACCCCGACCCCGGCCGCGACCCCGGCUCCGACCUCGGCCGCGACCCCGGCUCCGACCUCGGCUCCGACCCCGGCUCCAGCCCCGACCUCGGCCGCGACCCCGACUCCAGCCCCGGCCGCGACCCCGACUUCGGCUGCGACCCCGACCUCGGCCGCGACCCCGGCUCCGACCCCGACCCCGACCCCGACCGACCUCCCGCCCGCCGCCCCCGCCGCACCUGCCGCCGCGCCCCCAGGUGA
This 1383-nucleotide long non-coding RNA is filed under the name Canis lupus familiaris (dog). RNAcentral's name for it is "lncRNA (ENSCAFG00000055744.1)". Lineage: Eukaryota; Metazoa; Chordata; Mammalia; Carnivora; Canidae. The record is from RNAcentral.